CGAGCGUCAUUACAACCCUCAAGCUUUGCUUGGUAUUGGACAUUGCCCGGUUUACCGGCAGGUCUUAAAAUCAGUGGCGGUGCCAUUUGGCUUCAAGCGUAGUAAUUCUUCUCGCUUUGGAGAUCCAGGUGGUUACUUGCACAAUCCAACCCAUUUUUCAGGUUGACCUCGGAUCAGGUAGGGAUACCCGCUGAACUUAA
This 200-nucleotide unclassified non-coding RNA is filed under the name soil metagenome. RNAcentral's name for it is "partial contains internal transcribed spacer 2 and large subunit ribosomal RNA". The record is from RNAcentral.